Prunus persica (peach) is the source of this 4200-nucleotide long non-coding RNA. RefSeq lists it as uncharacterized. The transcript is spliced from 2 exons. NCBI's taxonomy places the organism in Eukaryota, Viridiplantae, Streptophyta, Magnoliopsida, Rosales, Rosaceae. The record is from RefSeq and is a predicted model, not a curated record.
GGAGAGAGAGAGAGUGGUGAUGAAACUCUUGGAGCUUGGUUUGGGUGAUAGUACAUGAAGAUAGGUAGAUGGGUUGUCUUGCAAAUUUAUUUUAAGGGCUCUCAUUAUCGAGUAUGUAUUAUUCAUGGAACAUGAGAACUUCAAUGUUGGAGUAUCCAAUGGAUAGAUGUACCACGAGGGGACAUAGGGCAGUAAGGCAAAUAGGGGUCACGUGGUUGGUUAUAUGCUAUGAAGGAUAACCGAGAUAUGAAGGGAUGAUGUGAUAUGAUCUGGAUUGGUGUAUCUUUUCAUGAUAUUUUCUAGAGUAUGUAAAACGGUUGCUUGACUAGCAUAUUACUGAGCGGUGGUUGCUUAUCCCUCACCCUGUUUAAUUUUUCAGAUGAAUUAGUGGGUAAGACAAGGACUAAAUCGGUUGAGGCUGAAUUAGAUGAGAGUGAUAGAGCUUUACUUAUUUAUCGUAAAGUUGAAAGACUUUGGAUCUAUUUUUAUAAGAGAAGUUUGUUUUAAACUCAUGUUUCGGCUUCUUUUUAUUUUAUUUUACUUUCUCAAGCAUCGGGCGUGAGGUUUCCACCGACCCCCGGGUUCGAGGCGUGACAAGAUCUAGCUAGAGCUAGUUCAUUCCAGGCCUCUAUCUCUCUCUCUCUCUCUCUCUCUCUCUCUCUCUCUCUCUCUCCUCUAGUUUCCCCAUCAACGCCGCCACCAAUUUUCUCUCUCCUCUAGUUUCCCCAUCAACGCCGCCACCAAUUUUCUCUGCGAAACCCAACUCUCUCUCUCUCUCUCUCUCUCUCUCCUCUAGUUUCCCCAUCAAUGCCGCCACCAAUUUUCUUGGCGAAACCCAACCAACCUACACCGAUUUCUCAGUGAUUCGAAGGCGUUGGUUUAAUGCAUCGUUGGCUCGGCUUCAGUUUUGAUUUGUGUGAGACUUAUUGUCUUAGUUUACUCCUAGGGUGAACAGUUCAAGAUUACAUAUUCACUACAUCAUCUUGUAAACCCGAUAAGUCUUCACUCAGGUAGGUUCAAGUCCAAAAGACACCUCUCCCGAUGCAAUUCUCAUAUGAUUUUCUCUCUCAUGUCUUUAUACUUAUUUUCUAUUCAAAUUCAAAUGUGGGGUAUUAUUGGAGUUUGAAUAGAAAACUAGUGCUUGUCUUAGUCCCCCAUUGGUGAGCACAAGAACUAAACGCACUUUAUAAGCUUUAGUCCAUUUCUAUUAUUAAAAUGGAUUGGACUUGGGUUGGCUGCAAUUAGGCUCAUAGCGUGGGCCUUAAGCAUUGACUUUUGGCCCAAAUUGAAUAAAAGGAUUUUUCUGUAGUUUUGGUCUCAAGCCAAAAUGGGCAGAACCUCGAGCCCUCAGAUUUCUACAGAUUUUGUCUCAUGACAAAACUGGCAGAAAUUUGAGCCCUUAUAUUUCUGCAGAUUUGGUCACAUGACAAAAUUGGCAGAAAUUUGAGUCAAGCAUUGACUUUUGGCCCAAAUUGAAUAAAGGCAUUUUUCUGUAGUUUUGGUCUCAAGCCAAAAUGGGUAGAACCUCGAGCCCUCACAUUUCUACAGAUUUGGUCACAUGACAAAAUUGGCAGAAAUUUGAGUCAAUGUGGGCUUUUGGGCUUUGAUGAUUACAUUCAGAAAUCAUAUUAAACCUAUCCUUUUACAGUGAAAGGUUAUCUACAGGUCAUAGCCAACCAUAUUACAGAAGUAGGACUGAAUCAUCACGCACGAAAUCACUCACUAAUUGAGAGAGAGAGAGAGAGAGAGAGAGAGAGAGAGAGAGAGAGAGAGAGAGAACAAAUACAGUUCGACAGAGUUCAAAAUUCAAGGGCCUGAAUUUCAAAUUGUUGAUAGUUGUAUCUUGGGGACAGACACCUAUAAAACUACAAGGCACGAGUGUAGGGCCGAAAUUCUGUCUGUGGACAUUGCAUUUACAAGCAUCUAUCAGUUUGUGGAUAUUGCAUUUGCAAGCCUCUAUCAGUUAGUUUACUUCCCUUGCCCCAUGUACCCGUUUGAUUUUACAACUUUAAAGAAAUAUGUUAUAUUUGUAGUUUGUUAUGAAUUUUGAUUUGUAAUCACAAGAGGCGAGACUUGUUGAGAGUAAUCUUCUUGGCAAACCUCAAUGAGGUAGGGUUUUAGAUGGGUCAAAAGCAUCUAUAAGCCUAUGAUAGUUGUGCAUUGUUUGCCAACUCUUUGGAAGGGCUAAAAGCAGUGCAGUGGUGCCUCUAAAAUAUACGUCCAACACAAAGGCCCAAACAAAGGCCCGGUGCUGUGGUUCAAUUUCUUCAACUUUGUUGGCCAGCGACUUCAAGAUUCCAUUUCAAUUCUGCUUUCAGUUCGUUAAAGCAACGUUGUUGUUGGUAUGAAAUAUGUAGUUGAUCUGCAGCAAGCAAGCAGAAAGCAGCAUACACAUGUGAUGCUGGCUUUGGCUUUGCCCUAUAUAAAAUCCAAUAAAUAGUAGCUUUAAUGAGAUGGAUCAUGUGAUUUCACCAGCUUUUGCCCUGUCACUGCAGUCUCUCUCUGCACUGCACCUAUCUAUAUUAUUUGUUUUGGAUCUUAAGCAAGCAAACUGUACUUCAUGGUCACCACACAAGAUAAUCAAUCUAGCCAGCUACUAAAUUCUUCAUUCAAAUCUACCCAGUUUUUAUUAUUUAUUUAUUUAUUAAAAAAAAAAACCAAUUAUGAAUUACUACCAUGGCUGUUUUUUUAAUCACAUUAAUGGCUUACUAAUACGCUUUUUCUACAUUAUAUAUCAAACAAUACGAAACUGGGUGUGGCAGGCAGGCAGCUUCUAUAAAAGAAAAAGCAUAAUUCGUAUAAAAUGUAAUAAUUUACACGGAAAAAAAGUGUAAAACAAGAAGAGCAACUUAUGACGUAUAUCAGGGACAACAAACAACAUGAAAGGGUGAAAAAGAAAACAUGGCCAACAUGGUUUAGACAGAAGAACCACCAAAAAAAAAAAGGCAAAAGUAACAUGGCAGGAUAGGCAUGAGUGAUGAGUGAAAAAAGGGAGGCACACACACACCCAAGAUUAUUAUUGGUCUCUCUCAAUUUCCUCACUUUUUUCCUUCUCUCUUCUGUUUAUUUUUUGGUGGGUAAUAAGAGUUUUAAUCUUUUUCAUUAUUUUUAUUAUACGAAUGAUAUUGACAAAGAGAAAAUUCAAACACAAAACCUUAGAUAUUUACAUUUUAACUACUUGAACGACAAACCGCUUGCUAAUUUCCUCGGUUAAAAGGAUGCGUUGUUGCCACUUUAAACAUCUCUCUCCUACACUCACUGCCCAUUUCUUAAUUAAUUAAUAUUUGUUUGUCUUGUUUCGCACCCUUCCAACACCUUUCGGUUCCUGCCCUAUCUCUUCAUCAUUCCCAUCUGCAGUGUUGUUUACAUGUUAGUGUAAGUCUGGCUGCCCUCCCAUCACAUCUCUCUCUCUCUCUCUCUCUCUCUCUCUCUCUCACUUUGAUGCUUUGAUGGUCUUAUGUAUCUGCCUCUCCUUCAGCACCCUUCAUCAUAUCACCUCUCGAUUUCCUCAGCACGCCUUCUUUUACCUUUUUGUCCAAAGCAACAACUAACCCACAAUUUAUUAAUCAAAAUAACCUAGCUCUUCCCUCACUACACAGCCAAGAAGAUGAGAUUUCUUUCCCAACCCAAAAUGGGUUUUGCAACACCACCAGAAGAAGAAGAUCAGUUCCGGCCAAUUACGCCAAUAAGAGUUGUGGUUCCAAAACUACGACCUUUAAACAACGCAAAGGAGGAUGAGGACGAGGACGAGGAGCUUUUGCUUUUGGAAGGUGACGUCCAUGAACAUGAAGAGUGCCACACACCCAAGUCGCCUGCAGCUCACGUGACCUUCAAGCAACCGCCGGUGUGUCCACCAGCACCGAAGAAACCAACCCAAGCUAGAAGAAAACUGAGGCCACGGCCUUCACAAGGGUUUUUUAAGGUUCCAGACGAUCUUACUUCGGUGUUUAUGGCAAUCUCUAGCUCUUCUAAUCCUGCCAAGAAGAAGAUGAGAGCCAGUUAAGAUCAAUCAAUCAAUCAUUCAUGAUAUAUAUAUAUAUGCUUGUAGUUAUAUAUAUUGAGAUUAACAUUUUACACCUCUUCUUCAUCCCUUUUGUUAAUUUUCAACCCAAUUCUUAUUAGCAACAACAAUUAAUAUAACCGCUGUAAAGGGAAAAUGUUUUUAAUGAUGCAUUUGUUUUCAGUUAACUAUUUAAGCCC